UACGUAGGUGGCAAGCGUUAUCCGGAAUUACUGGGCGUAAAGCGCACGCAGGCGGUCUUUUAAGUUUGACGUGAAAGCUCCCGGCUUAACUGGGAGAGGUCGUUGAAGACUGGAAGACUUGAGGCAAUGAGAGGGAUGUAGAAUUCCCGGUGUAGUGGUGGAAUGCGUAGAUAUCGGGGGGAAUACCAGUGGCGAAAGCGGCACCCUAGCGUUAGCCUGACGCUCAUGUGCGAAAGCGUGGGGAGCGAACGGG
RNAcentral lists this ribosomal RNA (253 nucleotides) under uncultured bacterium. RNAcentral's name for it is "partial 16S ribosomal RNA". It matches the Rfam family "Bacterial small subunit ribosomal RNA", at positions 524 to 776 of the family's 1533-position model. The record is from RNAcentral.